This 264-nucleotide ribosomal RNA is filed under the name Klebsiella pneumoniae. RNAcentral describes it as "partial 23S ribosomal RNA". It matches the Rfam family "Bacterial large subunit ribosomal RNA", at positions 1641 to 1888 of the family's 2925-position model. Lineage: Bacteria; Pseudomonadati; Pseudomonadota; Gammaproteobacteria; Enterobacterales; Enterobacteriaceae. The record is from RNAcentral.
AUCGUACCCCAAACCGACACAGGUGGUCAGGUAGAGAAUACCAAGGCGCUUGAGAGAACUCGGGUGAAGGAACUAGGCAAAAUGGUGCCGUAACUUCGGGAGAAGGCACGCUGGUGUGUAGGUGAAGCCCCUGCGGGUGGAGCUGAGACCAGUCGAAGAUACCAGCUGGCUGCAACUGUUUAUUAAAAACACAGCACUGUGCAAACACGAAAGUGGACGUAUACGGUGUGACGCCUGCCCGGUGCCGGAAGGCUAAAUGAUGGG